This 111-nucleotide ribosomal RNA is filed under the name Pseudamiops gracilicauda (graceful-tailed cardinalfish). RNAcentral's name for it is "partial 16S ribosomal RNA". The record is from RNAcentral. Lineage: Eukaryota; Metazoa; Chordata; Actinopteri; Kurtiformes; Apogonidae.
UACCAAAAAGCUAGCUUAAAAACUAAAUCCAACAUUUAAUACUAAUACCCACACACAUUCAAACCUUAAACAACAAAUCAUUCUUCCAUCCUAGUAUGGGCGACAGAAAAG